This 1233-nucleotide long non-coding RNA is filed under the name Piliocolobus tephrosceles (Ugandan red Colobus). RNAcentral describes it as "lncRNA (ENSPTEG00000009204.1)". Lineage: Eukaryota; Metazoa; Chordata; Mammalia; Primates; Cercopithecidae. The record is from RNAcentral.
AUGGAUGCUGUACAUAAUGUUAUGACAAUAUGUGCUAAUGCAUUAAACGAUCAAGAAAGAAACUCUGUUACAAAAGCUAUGGAAGUAGAAGCUGAAGCAACUAAAACAUAUAAAAUUGCAUUAAAAGCAGCUAAUAAUGCAAAUGAAUCAGCAAACGAAGCUAAAAAAUUAUCAGAAAUAUAUGAAGAUACAACAUCAACAGAAAUGGCAAAUACGUCUUUGGAAAGCACUAAAAAACUUAUGAUGGAAAUAGUAAAGGCAGAAAAAGCAGUUAAAGAAGCAAACAAAAAUGUAGACGAAUUGAAAAAUGAGGCAGUUGCUAGGGUGGCACAACAUUUGGCUAAAACUAAGGAGUUUGCGAAAAUAGCAGAAGAAGCAAAAAUUGAACUAAUGAACGCAUUGAAUGGGUUAAAAACGACAACAAAAUCUGAAAUUACAUUGAAAACAACAAAAGAUUGUAAAAAUGUUUCUAAAAAAGCUAUUACAGCUGCAAAAAAUGCAUUUGAGUAUGCAAAUUUAGCCAAGGAUGAAGCAAAAACUACAAAACGUGCUAUAGCAAUAAGAGAUGCAAUUAAAGCAAGAGAAAUCGCGGAAAAAGCUAAAGCCUUUGCAGAAAAUGCAGACAAAAUUACAAAUGAAAUAUGGAUAGCAGAAGAAAAAUAUAAUUUAGAAGCCAUACAAAAAGAUAAAAAAGAAGAAGAGACAGUAGAAAAAGCUAAAAUUGUAAACAAAAGUGACACAGAAAAAGCAGAAAAUAUGAUUAAAUUAACUGAUAAGGAUGAUAAAAAUACAAACAUGUCUGAUAUUAAUAUUGCUGAUAAAAAGAAUAUUCAAACAGGUGAUGUAAUAGAAAGCAAAUUAAAUGAUUACGAUAUGUCACAUACAAGAAAUAUACAUUUUCAUGGUAAUUUAGAAAAGCAUAAUGAUAAAUUAAAUGAUUUAAAUGAUCACGAAACAAAAGGUGUUGAUGUAACAGAACUGUCUAUUGAUGAAACAUGCAAACACCAGCGCGCUACAGACUAUUGUAUUAAUUUUAAUAAAAAUGAUUUUUCAAAGAUGUGUGCUAAUCUAAUGAAAAAUGGACUUUGCUGUAAAAUUGCAGAAAAAUGUUUAGUUAACCCUCAAAUUAAGGAUGAAGAAUAUUUGCAGUGUGUUAACCACGAAAUUAAUACGUCGUUACCGAGUUGUUUUAAAAACAGAUCAUUUGGAAGUACGUUAAAUGAAUAUGUUUAA